This is a long non-coding RNA of Pomacea canaliculata, 668 nucleotides long. RefSeq lists it as uncharacterized. The record is from RefSeq and is a predicted model, not a curated record. The transcript is spliced from 3 exons. NCBI's taxonomy places the organism in Eukaryota, Metazoa, Mollusca, Gastropoda, Architaenioglossa, Ampullariidae.
ACUUCCUCAUAGAUGAGCAGAUGUGAGGAAAAGUAAUUUCAGCUCUCUAUCAACUUAUCCUGACUAAUCCGAGCGAAUGUUUCAUUGCGAUCGUCUACUUACUGACAGAAAGCUGUGUGGAGCCGUCACUAGUAGUGCACUCAGGGAUUUCUGGAGAAUUUCUCUCAAUGUCUUGGAACGACGGACAGCAUCAUAAUAUUCGUAAUUUUUUGGCGAUGUAGAAGAGAGAGAACCUAAUAAGAUUCCUGGGAGAAAAAAAACCUCACAUCUCAGGAAGAAUGAAUGAGAACAAAAACACAGGUUCGAUUACUGGGACAGAAGGAGAGAUGAGAGAAUGUGUCGAAAACGAAGAAAACUUCGCUGGUGUCGUAAACAUUAGAUGCACUAAAGCAACUACGACAACAACGGUAAUACCGACACAAACAACCACGAACAAUGUAUUAGACACUCAUAAACAAACAUCGACUUCAGGAGAGGUGUCCGGGAGAAGCACAGCCAAACCGACAUCUAAACAUCCUACGAGCACUUCUUGUGGCGGGAUCUCUGGACAAUACAGCUCUUAUCUAAAGGACAACCUCGACAUCGUGCGACAGAAGUGCAGCGAGUUUCACGCCUGUACCGUGGAGCUGUAUAAGUCUGAGAACCUUCACCGCAUCUGGCCGGCGACA